GCAGGCUAACACUGCAAGUCGAGCGGAGUGAUGGUGCUUGCACUAUCACUAGCGGCGGACGGGUGAGUAAUGCUUAGGAAUCUGCCUAUUAGUGGGGGACAACAUCUCGAAAGGGAUGCUAAUACCGCUACGUCUACGGAGAAAGCAGGGGAUCACUUGUGACCUGCGCUAUAGAUGAGCUAAGUCGGAUAGCUAGUUGGUGGGGUAAAGGCCUACCAAGGCGACGAUCUGUAGCGGGUCUGAGAGGAUGAUCCGCCACACUGGGACUGAGACACGGCCCAGACUCCUACGGGAGGCAGCAGUGGGGAAUAUUGGACAAUGGGGGGAACCCUGAUCCAGCCAUGCCGCGUGUGUGAAGAAGGCCUUAUGGUUGUAAAGCACUUUAAGCGAGGAGGAGGCUCUUUUGGUUAAUACCCAGAAUGAGUGGACGUUACUCGCAGAAUAAGCACCGGCUAACUCUGUGCCAGCAGCCGCGGUAAUACAGAGGGUGCAAGCGUUAAUCGGAUUUACUGGGCGUAAAGCGCGCGUAGGCGGCCAAUUAAGUCAAAUGUGAAAUCCCCGAGCUUAACUUGGGAAUUGCAUUCGAUACUGGUUGGCUAGAGUGUGGGAGAGGAUGGUAGAAUUCCAGGUGUAGCGGUGAAAUGCGUAGAGAUCUGGAGGAAUACCGAUGGCGAAGGCAGCCAUCUGGCCUAACACUGACGCUGAGGUGCGAAAGCAUGGGGAGCAAACAGGAUUAGAUACCCUGGUAGUCCAUGCCGUAAACGAUGUCUACUAGCCGUUGGGGCCUUUGAGGCUUUAGUGGCGCAGCUAACGCGAUAAGUAGACCGCCUGGGGAGUACGGUCGCAAGACUAAAACUCAAAUGAAUUGACGGGGGCCCGCACAAGCGGUGGAGCAUGUGGUUUAAUUCGAUGCAACGCGAAGAACCUUACCUGGCCUUGACAUAGUAGAAACUUUCCAGAGAUGGAUUGGUGCCUUCGGGAAUCUACAUACAG
RNAcentral lists this ribosomal RNA (993 nucleotides) under Acinetobacter soli. RNAcentral's name for it is "bacterial SSU rRNA". It matches the Rfam family "Bacterial small subunit ribosomal RNA", at positions 42 to 1037 of the family's 1533-position model. The record is from RNAcentral. Lineage: Bacteria; Pseudomonadati; Pseudomonadota; Gammaproteobacteria; Moraxellales; Moraxellaceae.